Molecule: long non-coding RNA, 1798 nt
Organism: Hypanus sabinus (Atlantic stingray)
Lineage: Eukaryota; Metazoa; Chordata; Chondrichthyes; Myliobatiformes; Dasyatidae
Exons: 3
Source: RefSeq, a predicted model, not a curated record
GGACACACCACAUGCCAAUCAACAUUUGGUGCACUGCCAGCUGGCUGGUCGGAGGACACAGCACAUGCCCAUGAACAUUUGGACCCUCCCAACUAACCAAUGCACACCUAAAUUAUUGUUCACCUUAAUUGGAUUAUCUCGCCCAGCCCCAUGCUAUACAAGGUGAGACUUGUCCUUGGCUCGCUCUCUCUUACAGACCACCUCAUUGCAGGUAAGAGCAUUGAUUUAUGUUUGGGAAGGUCUAUCGUUUGUCCUGGUAAGGGAGCCGCGGCUAUCCAAGGUCAAGGGGGAUAGCUAUCGUAGUGUUUUUCCCUUGUUCUUUGUGUAACCGUACCCUGUCCCCACACCGCUUCCUGUGUAUUGUAGUUGCUUGUCUUGACCCGACUUCCCCUUGUAAAUAAAUCCCUUAUUAUUAAAACUGUGUGUGUCCAGGCCUCUACUGUUGAGACUCAAAGAACCAGUUAUUUUCCAUCACAACCCCUGCAUAGCGUUGGAAGAAUGGUGGGUAUUCAGAUAGUUGCAAUUGAAGAUAAUUCUGUGUUGAUGCUUUUUUUUUCCCUGAAAACUUCUUACAGUCAAUUUAACGGCGAUCGUGAUCCUAUCUCGGGGGAAAAUGCGGACUCUCCAAAUGCAUCACCCGUUACCAUGCUGGAAUGGCGACAGCGGAUCUGAUGGUGGUUCUCCGUUUCGCUUUGGUGGAUCAGACUAACAAAAUCUGCAUUUAUUCCAGAUCCCUGCUCCUCACUCCUGUAUGCCCUCUGGCUCUUGUAUUUCACGUUGUCACCGGGGACUGUUCUGUUUGGUUUACAGUCAGUUUUACUUUCGAUCGUUUCAUCGCGAUAAACCGGAAUCCUCGGGAACGAUACUGCACUGAGAGAACAGCAAGAGUCGUCAUGGUGACCGUUGUUAUAGUGAGCUGCGGGAGAUGUGUCCCGUUUAACUUUGCUGUUGAACCUUACGUCAUCACUGACAACACGUCGUGGCGGUGCGCCCCCGUGUGGAGAGGAUACGAAGUGUUGGACCGCAUUUUAACACUGUUGCUACCUAUCGGCUUAAUUCUGGUGUUCAAUGCGUUAACAGUGAGACCUAUCAUUGUGGCAAAUAGAGUCCGCAGAGGUCUUCGGAACAGCAGUGAAAAUCAGCAGGAUACCGAGAGAGAAAACCGCAGAAAAUCGAUGAUUUUGUUGUUUGCUGUAUCAGCUAAAUUCAUUUUAUUUUGGAUACCCUAUGCAGGUCAUUCCUUGAAAUAGCAAACGGAAAACUAUUUGUAUCAGGACAGAUAUUUGAAUUCCCCGGUAUAUACACUACAACAACUUGGGUUCAUGUUGCAAAUUCUGAAUAUGUGCACCAAUACUAGUAUCUACACACUGACACAGAGGAAAUUCGGAAAGGAACUGAAGAAUGGAAUGAAGGAAUAAGUGGUGAAAUUUGACGAGCUGUGUCGAUAGGAUUGUCUUUGUUCGGGGAACGGAAAAGCGGUACUGUGGACGAUACCGAGAUUCCUCGAUGGUAUGCGGUCGUUAUCGUCACCAGGAUAUCGGUGCCUUUAACUCAUCUGCCUUUCCUACGACAUUUCCGGCAUUGGAACAUGCGCUGCUAUGCACAUUUGCCUCACAGACCAAGCCUAUGUCUCCGCAGUCACAGAUGAAACGGAUAAGACAGGCCAAAGGGGCUCUGGUAAAGCUCUUUACGCCCAUUCCCUGCACAGUUGAUGGAGCGCUGAUGAGUUCCAACCAUACGGCCAACCCCAAAUGGACGAUGGAGAUCAGAGAUAUCGAUGGCCUACAAGCCACUUUCG